AAGUCGUAACAAGGUUUCCGUAGGUGAACCUGCGGAAGGAUCAAUAGCGAGAGAGAGUGGGGGGGGUGAGUGAGUGAGUGAGCGAAAGCGAGCGAGCGAGCGAGCAAGCCUACCUGAGUUGGGGGAGAGAGUGGGAGGUGGAAUGUGGUCGGGUAGAUUAGUGUGGGUCGAAGGGCUCGUGUGGGUCGAGAGGCCCAUGCGGGUCAAAAGGCUCGUGCAGAUCCAUGGACCACGUGCCGCCCCAGCUUGCUUCCAACAACAUUUACGCGUGAUAGAGUAUGACAGAGUAAAUGACAAGGAGAAAAAAGACAACUUUUAACAAGGGAUCUCUUGGCUCUU
RNAcentral lists this unclassified non-coding RNA (339 nucleotides) under fungal sp. RNAcentral describes it as "partial internal transcribed spacer region". The stretch from base 1 to 46 matches the Rfam family "Eukaryotic small subunit ribosomal RNA", at positions 1786 to 1831 of the family's 1831-position model. The record is from RNAcentral. Lineage: Eukaryota; Fungi.